This 895-nucleotide ribosomal RNA is filed under the name uncultured bacterium. RNAcentral describes it as "bacterial SSU rRNA". It matches the Rfam family "Bacterial small subunit ribosomal RNA", at positions 10 to 938 of the family's 1533-position model. The record is from RNAcentral.
AGUUUGAUCCUGGCUCAGGAUGAACGCUAGCGGUGCGCCUAACACAUGCAAGUCGAGCGAGAAGAUGGAGUAGCUUGCUACAAAGUUGGAAAGCGGCGAACGGGUGAGUAACACGUUGGUAUCUGCCCUCUGGUCAGGGAUAGCCAUCCGAAAGGAUGAUUAAUACCGGAUAGUCUCGAAAGAGUAAAGAUUUAUUGCCAGAGGAGGAACCUGCGGCCUAUCAGCUAGUUGGUGAGGUAGAAGCUCACCAAGGCUAUGACGGGUAGUUGAUCUGAGAGGAUGAUCAGCCACAAUGGAACUGAGACACGGUCCAUACUCCUACGGGAGGCAGCAGUGAGGAAUCUUCCACAAUGGGGGCAACCCUGAUGGAGCGACACCGCGUGAAGGAUGAAGGUCUAACGAUUGUAAACUUCUUUUCUGAGGGAGCAUAAUGAGAGUACUUCAGGAAUAAGGGACGGCUAAAUACGUGCCAGCAGCCGCGGUAAUACGUAUGUCUCGAGCGUUAUCCGGAAUUACUGGGUGUAAAGGGUUUGUAGGUUGUUUGUUAAGUAGGGUAUGAAAGACCGGAGCUCAACUCCGUGUUUGUAUUCUAAACUGGCUAACUAGAGUUAGGGAGAGGUAAGCGGAAUUUUAAGUGUAGGGGUGCAAUCCGUAGAUACUUAGAAGAACACCAAAAGCGAAGGCAGCUUACUGGAACUAUACUGACGCUGAAAAACGAAAGCGUGGGGAGCGAAAAGGAUUAGAUACCCUUGUAGUCCACGCCCUAAACGAUGAUAACUUAGUGUUGGGGGUAACCUCAGUGCUGAAGCUAACGCGUUAAGUUAUCCACCUGAGGAGUACGGUCGCAAGAUUAAAACUCAAAGGAAUAGACGGGGACCCACACAAGCAGUGGAUC